Molecule: ribosomal RNA, 602 nt
Filed under: uncultured Pseudomonadota bacterium
Lineage: Bacteria; Pseudomonadati; Pseudomonadota
Description: bacterial SSU rRNA
Rfam family: Bacterial small subunit ribosomal RNA
Source: RNAcentral
CGGGUGGCGGACAGUGGCAGACGGGUGAGUAACGCGUGGGAACGUGCCUUUCGGUUCGGGAUAACCCAGGGAAACUUGGGCUAAUACCGGAUACGCCCUUCGGGGGAAAGAUUCAUUGCCGAAAGAUCGGCCCGCGUCGGAUUAGCUAGUUGGUAGGGUAAAAGCCUACCAAGGCGACGAUCCGUAGCUGGUCUGAGAGGAUGACCAGCCACACUGGGACUGAGACACGGCCCAGACUCCUACGGGAGGCAGCAGUGGGGAAUAUUGGACAAUGGGCGCAAGCCUGAUCCAGCCAUGCCGCGUGGGUGAAGAAGGCCUUAGGGUUGUAAACCCCUUUCAGCGGGGAAGAUAAUGACGGUACCCGCAGAAGAAGUCCCGGCUAACUCCGUGCCAGCAGCCGCGGUAAUACGGAGGGGACUAGCGUUGUUCGGAAUUACUGGGCGUAAAGCGCACGUAGGCGGAUUUGUAAGUCAGGGGUGAAAUCCCGAGGCUCAACCUCGGAACUGCCUUUGAUACUGCAAAUCUCGAGUCCGGAAGAGGUGAGUGGAAUUCCUAGUGUAGAGGUGAAAUUCGUAGAUAUUAGGAAGAACACCAGUGGCGAA